Molecule: ribosomal RNA, 327 nt
Filed under: uncultured eukaryote
Lineage: Eukaryota
Description: partial 18S ribosomal RNA
Rfam family: Eukaryotic small subunit ribosomal RNA
Source: RNAcentral
CCCUUAGAUGUUCUGGGCCGCACACGCGCUACACUGAAGGAGGCAGCGUGUACUCUUGGAUCGAAAGAUUUGGGUAACCCGCGAAUCUCCUUCGUGCUAGGGAUUGAGGUUUGCAAUUAUCCUUCAUGAACGAGGAAUUCCCAGUAAGUGCAAGUCAUAAGCUUGCGCUGACUACGUCCCUGCCCUUUGUACACACCGCCCGUCGCUACUACCGAUUGAAUGAUUUAGUGAGGACUUCGGACUGGGACCGAUGCGGCUUUCGGGCUGCGUCGGUAUUCUGGAAAGAUGUCCAAACUGUAUCAUUUAGAGGAAGUAAAAGUCGUAACA